GACGAACGCUGGCGGCGUGCUUAACACAUGCAAGUCGAGCGGAAAGGCCACUUCGGUGGUACUCGAGCGGCGAACGGGUGAGUAACACGUGAGUAAUCUGCCCUUCACUUCGGGAUAGCCCUGGGAAACUGGGAUUAAUACCGGAUACGACCACUGGUUGCAUGACUUGGUGGUGGAAAGUUUUUUCGGUGGGGGAUGUGCUCGCGGCCUAUCAGCUUGUUGGUGGGGUAAUGGCCUACCAAGGCUUCGACGGGUAGCCGGCCUGAGAGGGUGACCGGCCACACUGGGACUGAGACACGGCCCAGACUCCUACGGGAGGCAGCAGUGGGGAAUAUUGGACAAUGGGCGGAAGCCUGAUCCAGCAACGCCGCGUGAGGGAUGACGGCCUUCGGGUUGUAAACCUCUUUCGGUAGGGAUGAAGCGCAAGUGACAGUACCUACAAAAGAAGGACCGGCCAACUACGUGCCAGCCGCCGCAGUAAAAC
Molecule: ribosomal RNA, 484 nt
Filed under: uncultured bacterium
Lineage: Bacteria
Description: bacterial SSU rRNA
Rfam family: Bacterial small subunit ribosomal RNA
Source: RNAcentral